Molecule: long non-coding RNA, 148 nt
Organism: Amblyraja radiata (thorny skate)
Lineage: Eukaryota; Metazoa; Chordata; Chondrichthyes; Rajiformes; Rajidae
Exons: 3
Source: RefSeq, a predicted model, not a curated record
ACUCCUGCACCUAUUUUCUAUUGAUCCCCUAUCUCGCUGUUCCUGUCCUCAUUAGCACGUGGUACUGAAAGCUAUCCAGAGAUAACCGCCCUAGAAGUCUGGCAUUUCAAUCUUCUUCCCAACUCUCUGAAGUCAUGUUGGAGAACCU